UUUACUAGACUGAUGAAACAAAAGAGAGAGAGAGAGAAUAAUUAUGUUAAUAACAUCAGGAAUGGAGGGGACAUUGCUGCUGAAAUUAAAAGAUUUAAAGAAAUGUAGUAGUAACGACUUAUCUGUGGGAGAUAUGUUCCAAAAUCCCAAGUGGAUGCUUGAAACCACAGAUAAUAUUGAACUCUUCAUAUACUAUAUUUUUUCCUUAUUAUACAUACCUGUGAUAGAUUUAUCAAUUU
RNAcentral lists this long non-coding RNA (239 nucleotides) under Homo sapiens (human). RNAcentral's name for it is "non-protein coding lnc-TNFSF13B-2:1". The record is from RNAcentral. Lineage: Eukaryota; Metazoa; Chordata; Mammalia; Primates; Hominidae.